This 521-nucleotide ribosomal RNA is filed under the name uncultured bacterium. RNAcentral's name for it is "bacterial LSU rRNA". It matches the Rfam family "Bacterial large subunit ribosomal RNA", at positions 46 to 570 of the family's 2925-position model. The record is from RNAcentral.
GCGAUGAAGGGCGUGGACAGCUGCGAAAAGCCAGAGGGAGCCGCUAACAGGCCGUGAUCUCUGGAUCCCCGAAUGGGACAACCCACCCGACUCCGGUCGGGUACUUCUCGCUGAAUCUAUAGGCGAGAGAGAGCAAACCCAGGGAAGUGAAACAUCUCAGUACCUGGAGGAAAAGAAAUCAACCGAGAUUCUCCUAGUAGCGGCGAGCGAACGGGGACCAGCCCAAACCGUCUGUCGCGAGACAGGCGGGGUUGUAGGGCCCGCGAUGUGAGUCUGCUGAUCGAUGCGAACAGGCUUGGAACGGCCGGCCAGAGAGGGUGACAGCCCCGUAACUGACAGUCAGCAGCCUCUAGUGGGUACCUGAGUACCGCAGGACACGUGCAAUCCGGCGGGAAUCCACGGAGACCAUUCCGUAAGGCUAAAUAUUACCGACCGACCGAUAGUGAACGAGUACCGUGAGGGAAAGGUGAAAAGAACCCCGAGAGGGAGUGAAAGAGAACCUGAAACCACUCGCUUACAAG